GUCCUUUUGAAAUUGAUUUAAGGUUUAACCUGCCCACUGAAAUUUUUUGAAGGGCCGCAGUAAUUUGACUGUGCAAAGGUAGCAUAAUCAUUAGUUUUUUAAUUAAAAGCUUGUAUGAAGGGUUGGACGAGAUAAAUUCUGUCUCUAUUUAAUUAAAUUUAGAAUUUAAUUUUUAAGUUAAAAAGCUUAAAUUUUUUUAAAAGACGAGAAGACCCUAUAGAUCUUUAUAUUAGAAAUAUUAAUUUUAAUUAGGAAUAUUUUAUAUUUUAUUAUUAAUAAUAUUUUAUUGGGGUAAUAAAAAGAUUUAAUUAAUUCUUUUUUUAUUUAAACAUUAAUAAAUGAUUAUAUGAUCCAUUUUUAUUGAUUAAAAGAUUAAGUUACCUUAGGGAUAACAGCGUAAUUUUUUUAGAGAGUUCAUAUCGAUAAAAAAGUUUGCGACCUCGAUGUUGGAUUAAAAAUUAUCUUAGGUGUAGAAUUUUAAGAUUUUGGUCUGUUCGACCAUUAAAUUUUUACAUGAUCUGAGUUCAGACCGGCGUAAGCCAGGUCGGUUUCUAUCUUUAAUAAAAUUUUAUAUUUUAGUACGAAAGGACCAAUUAUAAGAUAUAUUUAUAUUUAAUUAUUUUGAAUAU
This 629-nucleotide ribosomal RNA is filed under the name Agabus brunneus. Its description in RNAcentral is "partial 16S ribosomal RNA". It matches the Rfam family "Bacterial large subunit ribosomal RNA", at positions 1825 to 2733 of the family's 2925-position model. The record is from RNAcentral. Lineage: Eukaryota; Metazoa; Arthropoda; Insecta; Coleoptera; Dytiscidae.